This 1119-nucleotide long non-coding RNA is filed under the name Ficedula albicollis (Collared flycatcher). RNAcentral's name for it is "lncRNA (ENSFALG00000024981.1)". The record is from RNAcentral. Lineage: Eukaryota; Metazoa; Chordata; Aves; Passeriformes; Muscicapidae.
AUGCAAGAUCUUCCAUGGUGACUUAUUUCUUUCAUGAGAAGCAGGCCAGAAAAGCUCAAGUAGACUAAAACUAAAAACUACCUGAUCUCCUUUACAUUAAGGUUUGCAGGUUUCUUCAAAGAAUAUUUACAGCUCUAUGGAACAGGAUAUUCUCUUGUGAAAUCACAAGUCUAUUUAGCCAUUUGUCCAGCAACUCUCAGCUGUCCUGUGGCUCCUACCAACUUGUCAUGGGGACAUUACUGGUCCAAAGCUCUCUGCAUCUCCACAGAGUGUUUUCUAAAAAUUAGUGUUGUAUUUGUGACCUUCCUUUCAUCUAACACUUAAGACAGUUUUAAGUGAAAAAAAUAUAAAGUACAGUUCAAAGUUCAGCCAUUUUAUCACUUGAAUUUCCUUAGAACUCUUGGAUGAAUACCAUCUGUCCUGUCAUUUUGUUUCAAGUUAUUUUACACUUGGAUUUGAGACAGAUGCUUCACCAUGCCUCUUCCAUUAAAAAAUUUUGUCAUGAAAACUGCCCGAAACUCCUCUACAGGGUUAAAAAAGUUUUUUUUUCUAGGUAUUGCUACUGUAUCAUGAGCAUCCAUUGUCCCUAGGGCAGUUUUGCAGCCAUUUUGGUUCUGCGGAUGCACAGACCUUGGAAAAUUUAAAUAAUCUUAUCAGAAAGACUUCAUGAAGCAUCACUGUUCUGCCCAGGGAGAGAAUGUUAGAAGUGAGAGGACGUGAUGGUGCAUUUCUGCAGGGAAGUCGGAACAGGAUGUGGAAUCUACUGGCAUGUGUGGGGAUAACAUUCCAACACUUCUCAUGCUGUUCUGCAAGCUGUGUAUUUUAUGAGAAGCCACUAACACUGGAGCCAGGGGGAGAGGGAAGGAGUAGCAACAUCUGGGAAGACAUGUCUCUAACCACAUCUGUCUCGCAGCCAAGGCCAGUGACCCUGAGCUCUGGAAGGGAAAGUUCCAAACAUUCACUCAUUAUCAGCUACUAUGCCAAAACAAAGACCUGUGCUUCAGCAGUCUGGGGAAAGAAGAUAAUCCAGGAGUAACUUCCCAAGAACUUCACUACUUAAGAGAUUUAUUUUUCACCCACAAGGUAACACAGGCAAGUGCUACUGCAAGGAAAGCAUCA